UGCAGUCGACGAAGUAGCAAUACUUAGUGGCAGACGGGUGAGUAACAUGUGGGUAUCUUCCCUUUGGUGAGGAAUAACACGAGGAAACUUGUGCUAAUACCUCAUAAGUCUUUACAGAGAAAGCUUUAUGCGCCAUUGGAUGAGCCCGCACUUGAUUAGUUUGUUGGUGGGGUAAUGGCCUACCAAGACAAUGAUCAAUAGCUGAUUUGAGAGGAUGAUCAGCCACAUUGGGACUGAGACACGGCCCAAACUCCUACGGGAGGCAGCAGUAGGGAAUCUUGCACAAUGGAGGAAACUCUGAUGCAGCGAUGCCGCGUGAGUGAAGAAGGCCUUUGGGUUGUAAAGCUCUUUCGUCGGGGAAGAAAAUGACUGUACCCGAAUAAGAAGGUCCGGCUAACUUCGUGCCAGCAGCCGCGGUAAUACGAAGGGACCUAGCGUAGUUCGGAAUUACUGGGCUUAAAGAGUUCGUAGGUGGUUAAAAAAGUUGAUGGUGAAAUCCCAGAGCUUAACUCUGGAACUGCCAUCAAAACUUUUUAGCUAGAGUAUGAUAGAGGAAAGCAGAAUUUCUAGUGUAGAGGUGAAAUUCGUAGAUAUUAGAAAGAAUACCAAUUGCGAAGGCAGCUUUCUGGAUCAUUACUGACACUGAGGAACGAAAGCAUGGGUAGCGAAGAGGAUUAGAUACCCUCGUAGUCCAUGCCGUAAACGAUGUGUGUUAGACGUUGGAAAUUUAUUUUCAGUGUCGCAGCGAAAGCAAUAAACACACCGCCUGGGGAGUACGACCGCAGGUU
Molecule: ribosomal RNA, 788 nt
Filed under: alpha proteobacterium SCGC AAA003-G19
Lineage: Bacteria; Pseudomonadati; Pseudomonadota; Alphaproteobacteria
Description: SSU rRNA
Rfam family: Bacterial small subunit ribosomal RNA
Source: RNAcentral